CCUACGGGUGGCUGCAGUGGGGAAUAUUGGACAAUGGGGGCAACCCUGAUCCAGCCAUGCCGCGUGUGUGAAGAAGGCCCUCGGGUUGUAAAGCACUUUCAGUGAGGAAGAACGCCUGGUGGUUAAUACCCAUCAGGAAAGACAUCACUCACAGAAGAAGCACCGGCUAACUCCGUUCCAGCAGCCGCGGUAAUACGGAGGGUGCGAGCGUUAAUCGGAAUUACUGGGCGUAAAGCGCGCGUAGGUGGCUUGAUAAGCCGGUUGUGAAAGCCCCGGGCUCAACCUGGGAACGGCAUCCGGAACUGUCAAGCUAGAGUGCAGGAGAGGAAGGUAGAAUUCCCGGUGUAGCGGUGAAAUGCGUAGAGAUCGGGAGGAAUACCAGUGGCGAAGGCGGCCUUCUGGACUGACACUGACACUGAGGUGCGAAAGCGUGGGUAGCAAACAGGAUUAGAUACCCCAGUAGUC
Molecule: ribosomal RNA, 465 nt
Filed under: Vreelandella stevensii
Lineage: Bacteria; Pseudomonadati; Pseudomonadota; Gammaproteobacteria; Oceanospirillales; Halomonadaceae
Description: partial 16S ribosomal RNA
Rfam family: Bacterial small subunit ribosomal RNA
Source: RNAcentral